GGGAGCCGGAGGGAAACCGAGUCUUAACCGGGCGUUAAGUUGCAGGGUAUAGACCCGAAACCCGGUGAUCUAGCCAUGGGCAGGUUGAAGGUUGGGUAACACUAACUGGAGGACCGAACCGACUAAUGUUGAAAAAUUAGCGGAUGACCUGUGGCUGGGGGUGAAAGGCCAAUCAAACCGGGAGAUAGCUGGUUCUCCCCGAAAGCUAUUUAGGUAGCGCCUCGUGAAUUCAUCUCCGGGGGUAGAGCACUGUUUCGGCUAGGGGGCCAUCCCGGCUUACCAACCCGAUGCAAACUGCGAAUACCGGAGAAUGUUAUCACGGGAGACACACGGCGGGUGCUAACGUCCGUCGUGAAGAGGGAAACAACCCAGACCGCCAGCUAAGGUCCCAAAGUCAUGGUUAAGUGGGAAACGAUGUGGGAAGGCCCAGACAGCCAGGAUGUUGGCUUAGAAGCAGCCAUCAUUUAAAGAAAGCGUAAUAGCUCACUGGUCGAGUCGGCCUGCGCGGAAGAUGUAACGGGGCUAAACCAUG
This 532-nucleotide ribosomal RNA is filed under the name Salmonella enterica subsp. enterica serovar Oranienburg. Its description in RNAcentral is "partial 23S ribosomal RNA". It matches the Rfam family "Bacterial large subunit ribosomal RNA", at positions 661 to 1191 of the family's 2925-position model. Lineage: Bacteria; Pseudomonadati; Pseudomonadota; Gammaproteobacteria; Enterobacterales; Enterobacteriaceae. The record is from RNAcentral.